This 147-nucleotide unclassified non-coding RNA is filed under the name soil metagenome. RNAcentral describes it as "partial internal transcribed spacer 1". The record is from RNAcentral.
UCGAGUUUACAACUCCCAAACCCCUGUGAACAUACCACUUGUUGCCUCGGCGGAUCAGCCCGCUCCCGGUAAAACGGGACGGCCCGCCAGAGGACCCCUAAACUCUGUUUCUAUAUGUAACUUCUGAGUAAAACCAUAAAUAAAUCA